RNA transcript from Chrysoperla carnea, 6268 nucleotides. It is a transcript of the gene named AT-rich interactive domain-containing protein 4B, with no coding region annotated. The transcript is spliced from 14 exons. NCBI's taxonomy places the organism in Eukaryota, Metazoa, Arthropoda, Insecta, Neuroptera, Chrysopidae. The record is from RefSeq and is a predicted model, not a curated record.
GCUUGUUUAGCUUUACGACGUUUUAACUUAAAAAUAAAAAACAAAAAAUUUUGAAAAAUUUGAAAGAUGUGCUGUAAAAUAAAUGAUUUAUUAUUAAUUGUAUGUGAUGUUUAAUUAAAUCAUAGUCAAGAUAUAAUUAUCAUCUGUGGAUUAAAAUAAUGUCGCAGGGUGACGAUCCACCGUACUUACCUGUCGGUACUGAUGUAAGUGCUAAAUAUAAAGGAGCAUUUUGUGAGGCGAAAGUGAGUAAAGUAGUGCGUGUACUUCAAUUAAAAGUAACAUAUGUGGGAUCUGGACUUGGUACCGGUACUGUAACAGAUGAACAAAUUCGAAUUAUACCAACCGGUAAUAAUCAAUCACAAAGUGGUUUAUUACCGUUACGUGUUGGACAAACCGUACAAGUUAAGCAUCCUGAAAAGAAAGAUUAUGUGAAUGCAACUAUAAAUCGUAUACGAGAUUGUAGCCAGUAUACUGUGGUUUUUGAUGAUGGCGAUAUAACAACUUUACGUCGAACUGCGUUAUGUUUGAAAAGUGGAAGGCAUUUUAAUGAAAGUGAAACUUUGGAUCAACUACCACUUACACAUCCGGAACACUUUGGUAAUCCAGUCGUUGGAGGAAGACGCGGUCGCAGAAGUAGGCAGUUGAAGGAAGAUAGUAGUGAUGAAGGAGAAGAUGAUGAUGAUAUGGAACUUGACCGAAGUUCUGGUUCCAAUGCAAAUGCAGCUAAUAUGGGGAAAGAUGUCGGAAAGGUGGUUUGUGUUGAGACGAGUGAAGGUAAAAGAAAAGCAUCGCGAGAUAGUAACUGGUUUCCCGGUUUAGUUGUAGCACCAACCGCACAAGCUGCUGUACGAAUAAAUACUCGCGAAGAAUGUUUAAUUCGUUCAUUUAAAGAUGGUCGAUACUAUACCGUACCCCGUAAAGAGAUGACUGAGUUUAAACGUGAUGGGUCCUCUUCUCGUGUUGACAGUCCACCAUUAGCUGAAGCCGUUGAUAAAGCAAUAAAUUAUCUAGACAAUGCAGAACUUCCGCAACAUUGGGAUAAAGAUGUGUUAUUUGGUUUACAUUUAGGUGAUUUGGAUUCUGAUGAAAAUUACACAGAUAGUUCGGACGAUGAGCCUCGUGAAGAAAAAGAUCAUUUUGUGGCACAAUUAUAUAAAUUUAUGGAUGAUCGUGGUACACCACUGAACAAAGGGCCAAUAAUAUGUAAUCGCGAUGUUGACUUAUACAGAUUUUUUCGCAUUGUCGAAAAAUUAGGCGGCUAUAAUAGUGUAACAAAUAAAAACCGUUGGCGAGCGGUAACAGCUCGAUUAGGUUUUACCAAAAACAGUGCAACAACAUUAAAUUUAGUAAAACAAGCGUAUUUUCGAUUUUUAUUUCCAUUCGAAGAGUUUAACCGAAAAUUAGGAUGCACAAUGGUUGCACAUCCUCGUAAUGUAAAAAAGAAUCGUGGGCGUAGUUUAAUCCGGGACAAAGAUCGUGCUACUCCUGUUCAAAUAAAUAGUCCGAAACCUGAACCGAAAACAGAAGAUAGCAACGAUACGGUUAUAUCAGAAAAAGAGAAAAAAGAGGAAGUUGUCGAAAAGGAAGAACCUGUAAAGAAAAAAGUUAAACCACCACCGGUUAAAGAAGAAUCAAUUGUUAAGAUUAAAAAGGAAGAUGUCACAGAUUCAUCAGGUAGUGAAGGAAUUUUGGAUGUUAUCAGUGACAAUGUUCAAACACCCACUACAAAAAAGACUAAUCAAGAAAAUGUUGCAUCAUCUUCACAAAAAAGUGCUAAAAAGCAAGCGGAGACUUCCAAAUCAAACACAUCAACAGCAACAAAACGUUCCAAAGUACCUGGUGAAAAAGUUAAAGCGUUAGUAGAAAAGUUUGAGGAACAAAGCAAAUUAGAAGAUGAUGAAAAAGUACAGCAAACUCGAUCGAAGUCAAGUGCAGCCGCAGGUUCACGUAAAGAUUCAGCAAUAUCACCAGAACGUAAAGGUCGUGAAGCUAAAAAUUCAGAAAAACAAGAUGAAGUUCAGAAAAGCAAGCCGUCGAAUAGUACAUCAUCGGGUAGCAAACCACAACGUUCUAGUCGACCUAGUGCUGAUGAGGAAAAGAAACGUGGGAGAAAGAAGAAAGAUCCUGAGGAAAAAACUCAACUCAGCGACAGUUCAAUGUCGGAUCCUCCAUCGGUUACGGUCAAAAAUGUUAAUAUUGGCGACAAGUUAAUUGUAUACUAUGGACCAAAUUUGGAAUCAAAAGUUACUUAUGAAGCAAAAGUCUUAGAAAUUGAGAGAGAUGACGCUGGACCAAUAUAUUUGGUACACUAUACUGGUUGGAAUAAUCGUUACGAUGAAUGGAUUAAGCCACAUCGAAUUGCAGAAAAUAUUAGUCAAACGUCAAAAGGAAAACGUCCUUCAAAAACUUCAUCUGCUAAAAGUACAAAUAAUAAUCAAAGUGCUGGAAAACGAGGGCGAGGUGCAUCAGUUUCUAGUAGGAAUACGUCUUCAGAAAAUCAAGGUCCACCACCAAAUCAAGCACGUUCUACCACACCAUCAUCAGUUACAUCAACAUCUAGUCGAACAAAAUCGCCAGCAACUCCAGCAGCCAGAGCUCCCUCCGCUAGAUUAGCUAAACAAGCGGAAUCAAUAACAAAACGAUCAACAAGUAUAAAUAAUGGCAAUCAAUCUUCAUCAACUCGUCAAUCAUCUACUGCAAGUGACUCAGAAAGUGGUAACAGUGAUUCAGAAGAUUCUCCGAAACGACGGCCAGUUAAACGAAAAGAAGAAACACCAGAACGAACACUUGAUGAAGAAAGUCCAACUGAGCGUCCAAAACGUGCCAGAAAAACUCCUAAAAAGAAUUUAGUAGAAACGGUUACUGUUGUUGCAACUCCUCCAAAUAAAGUAGCUCCUAUUGUGACAACCACUCCUUCAACACCAGUCGAAAUAUCAGAGCCAAAAGGUCGUGAUUACGAUUUAAAUCAAAUACGAUCUGAAUUAAAAGGUUUCGAAAAAGCUUUGAAAUUGAAUUCGCCAACUAGUACAAAUCCUCCAAGCACUAUUGAAGAAAUAGUACCAAAAGUACAAUUAGAAGCAACACCAAAAAUAGUAUUAUCAACAAAACCACCAGUUGAAGAAAUAGUGAAAAAAAUAGAAAAAUCUCCCGAGAAAGAAGUUUCAAAAGAAAAGGAAAUUAAAGAAAUCAAACCAGCCGCAACUGAUGAUAUAUAUGAAUUCAAAGAACCUGAACCAUUGGAAUUAGAAUCUCGUGCAAAAUUAAAUGACGAUAAGACCGCAAAGAAACGUCGUCUUCUAGAAGAUUUGGAUAAACCUAUUGAAAAAGUAUCAUCUCCCAAGAAAAAACUACCUGCACGGACACCACCAAAAAGUGAUAAAAAUGAUACUGAUAAAAAAUCAAGAUUUAGACGUAAUUUAACGAAAAAAUCAGAAGAUUCUGAAAGUUCAUCGCCUGAAUCAAAAUCACCAGCAUAUACAGAAAAGAAUAUUGAAGCACCAAGUGAAAAUACUAAAACUCGAAUUUUGUAUGCGAGUGAAGAAGCGUUUGAUAAGCUUGUAAUUUCACCUAGCUUCAAUUUAAAAACAUCAAUUACUCCAUCAAAAUCGCCUGUUCCACCUGAAGCUAAAAUUAAAAUUGAAGAAAUUGAUACUAAAUUAAUUAAAUCUGAAGUUAUUAUUGAGGAAAUGAAAAUUAUACCCGAAGAAAAUUUAAUGACUGUUGAUAAUGAUAUUAAAGAUUCAUCAAGCUUAGAAAAUUCUGAUGAAGAUGAUCCUAUUCAUGUAGCAAUACGAGGCAUUGCAGAAUCGAAAGAUGACGAAGAUAGUGGCGAUCAAUUAUUAAUAACUCAAACUUUUACACCAAUUACAAAAGUUAUGGAAGCUAAAAAAGAAAUUUGUUUAAUUACAAAAGAUAUCAUUGAAACUAAACCAGUAAUAAUUCCAAUAGUUCCAGAAGUAAAAGAAAUCAAAGAAGAUGUAACGAUUACUUCACCUCCAUCUGAAGAUAUCCCAGAGAAACCAAUUGUUACUGAACAAGAAGUUGAAAUUGAAGUUAGAAUUUCUCCGUUAGAAUCAGAAAAAACAGUAAUAAGUCAAUUGAAAAAGGAAGAAAAGGUUAAACAAAUUUCACCUGCUUUACAAGAAACUGAUAGUUCAUUACUAGAGGCAGCAAUUCAACCUCCAACAACAGAACUAUCAAACACUGAGAAUAUAAUCAUUCCAAAACGAACUGGUCCUCGAAUAGCUAGUUCAAUUUUACAGAAAUUCAAUGCAAUUAAGAAAAAGGAAGAAAAUCCUUCACCGGUGAAGAGUGAUACAACCGUAGUUAGUAGUGAUGAAAUUGAAGACACAACAAAGAGUCCGAUUAAAUUAUUUAUUGAUGAACCUGAAGUUCCGAUUAAAACAGAAAUUAAAGAAGAAGAUACAACAACGCCAACUUCAUCAGAAGUAAUUGCAAGUCAACAAGAUUUUAAACGACGUAUUGUCAGUAAGAAAAAUCUUAGUCGAGAAUUCAUAGAUUCUGAUGAAACUGAUAGUGACAGCGACAGUGAAGAACGCUUAGUAAUAGCACGUUCCGAUGACGAAUCACAAACUAGUCAACCCGAAUCAACCACAUCAAAUGCACCUGAUAAUAAAAUUAUUGAUUCCGUGAAAGAUACUGAUAGCAAUACAUCCGCAUUGCGAAUAAACACCGAAGAAAGUUCACAAGAUAGCAAAUCAAAAAUAUACUCAUUCGAAAGUACUAUAGUCGAAACUAAAGAGGAAAAAAUGGAUGUUAUAUCGUCGGCAUCAAAAACUGAAGAGGAGCCUGAUAGUAACAUAUCUUUAUUACUAUGUGAAGAAACUAUACCAGGAAGUCCAGCACCUGUGACGGAAUCAAUACAAGUUAAUAUUCCAGAAGUACGAACAAAACCAAAAUCCGCUAAAAGUUUAGUGCUUGAAAUACCAUUCGCUAGUGCACCAGGUACCAGUAAAACAUUAUUAAGUGAACAAUUAAAACAUAGUGGUGUGAAAGUUGAUACAAAAUCCUCCUCAUCGACACCAGUAACAGUGGUAUCAACACCUACUGUAUCAAAUAUUCAGUCUAGUGUAAAUACAAUAUUGCCGGCUAAUAUAUCGUCGACAAAUAAUAAUGGUGGAAAUAUUUCGACGACUCUUGUUACCAAUACUAUUAAACCAUUAAUUACUGCAGAUAUUGUGAAAGAAGAUGUUGAAGAUACACCUCUUGUGUCCGCAGUUAAUUCACCACCUACUACACCAGAGAGUUCUAUAUCUAAUUUAUCACCUAGAGGAGAAAAUGGUGGAUCAUCAUCCGGAACAGCCGAUGAAAGUGUAAAAUCUCAACGGGGCUCAGAAGCUAGUGAAGUUGAACAACCGUUUAGAGCAGUUAGAAUUACAAAACCUCAACAUUAUAGUGAAGAAGAUACUUUACUUAAUUCUGAGGCAGCAGCAGUUGAAAGAAUCAAAAAAGCAAGUCCACGAUCAAUUAACGAAGAUUCCGAAGCUGCAAUACCAACAACAACGGUAACAUCAUCAACACCAGUUGUUGUGACAAGUCGCAAACGUAGGAAAUCAUACAAAGGUGAAGAUGCACCAGCGAAUCCACCAGUAGGUGCAAAACGUGGACGAAAACCGAAUGCAUUGAAAAAUAUACGCAACAUUACUUCAUCGAAUGUUCCAAGCAGUACUAAUAGUGACAGUGAUGAUACUUCAGAAAGUGCCACUUCAGCAAAUACAAUACCAGUUGGCCCCAGUUCGGGAUCAAAUACAGGCCCUGAAAUACGGCUACAAUCAUCAACGCAACAUAGUAAUAAUUCAAUUCAACGUGUUUCUAAGUACAAUUUUAUUGUGGAUUUGGAUCCAGACAUGGAUGCUUCUCAAAGAAUAGCGUUACUACAACAAAGAAUGGCUGAGUUAAGAAAAGCAUACAGCAAUGAAAAGAAUGAUCUUGCUUGCAUUGAACGCCGUCUCAAGAAAAUUCGGCGACGUGAACGUGAGGAAAGAAAAUUAUCUCGUCUUCAAAUGAGAAAAAGAUUAAUUGCAUAAAAGAAUCAAAAAUACUAAAUACAUGAAGAAUUCAUUAUAUGGAUUUUGGAAUUAAAAUUUUAUCGUUUUCACUUUAAUAAUGAAAUCGAUCAUCAGCUUUGAAGGCCGCUAAACAAGAAAUAGCGUGUUCGUGAUAGCAAUUAACACCAAGGCGGUGUCCAAUUUUAAAGAUAAUAUUGAAACCACCUUAAUAAACAAAAAACACAAAUACACACAAAAAU